AAAGGGGCCUUGGAACAACAAUGUUGCAAGGGAAGCCACCGAGAGCAAAGCAGCGAGCAUCAUGAGGAUGUGAAAUGGUCGGGCACAACAAGAGGGAGCGAAUGAUGGAUGAGCAACAAGUGCCAAUGAGCUAUAGAACAGAAGACAGAAGAUGGCAACAGAGGUGGUAAAAGAGUGGGUGUCAAAAGGGACUUUGGUUUCCCUCGAUAUUUCACCUCAAUGAAGUUGAGCAGCACGGGAACAAUAAAGGUGAGAACCGCGUGGUGGGAAGUGGAGGCAGGGAAACCUCGGACAUUUCUGUGGACUACUGCCGAGCGGCCUUGGAAACUGGAAUAAGUUUCCAGAUGAUCCUUUAGCCUAUGUACAAGAUGAUUAUCAAGGUAAUCAGAUAAAAAGAUGGGUUACUAGAACAGGGAAAAUACUAAUGCAUUAGAGUGGGGGCAAAUCAUGCUUUUUAUAAUGAAGCGAUUAAACACUGCACCAGUAGACUAUGUAGCACCGACACUCUCCGGGAACCUUCAUGUCGUGUCUGACACUCCGACACGUAUUUGACACGUUCCGACACGCGGUCAACGAGUGUCGAAAGAUCCAACACGUGGUCAAGUCUCUCCGACAUGCUCCGACACGCAAGUCCAGAAUUCCGACACGCGAUUCCAACACGCACAGGUCAAUUUUAAAAAUUUAUAAUACUUGAGGGGUCAAAAUAUAAAUAUACAAAAAAGAAGUAAUAAAAGAAGUAAUAAAAAAAUGCUAUAAAUAUACAUGCACGUGGUCAAUUUUUUUUUUAAUUUUUUUUAGAAUUGUUUCAGUUUUUUUAAAAGUCUUUUACUAUGAAAAAAGUAAUAAAAAAUGCUAUAUAUGAUAAAUAAAUAAAUUUACAAAUAUCAUUUCAGCAUUUUUCUUUAAAUAAUGUUUUUUUUCUCUAAGUUUGAUGUAUUAUUGUAACAAAUUAAAAUAAUGAAUUAUAUUAUUUAAUAUUUUUCGUGUAAUUAAUUCUAGGCUAUUUUUAUUAUUAUUUAUUUAUGUAUUUAUAUAAUAAAUAUAUUUAAUAUAUAAUGUGUCGGAACUCUCUAUUUUUAAGAAAUGACGUAUCGGCGUGUUAUGUCGUGUCGCGUGUCGCGUGUCGCGUGUCCAUGUCGGUGCUACAUAACUAGUAGAGUGUCAAUCUAUUCUAUAUUUGUUUCGCUACUCUGCAGCAGUUUGAUAAGGCUUAGACCGAAGGAGGGUGACAUUACAGUCAAACUGUCGUCGUGCAGCGAAUGCAUCGGGGGUGUGUACAUCACACAUAAGAUAGCAUACUAUGACUUUCUUCCCAUGUCCACGAAACUCUUACAUUCACCUUUCUGCUUCACACAUUGGAGGACAAACGAAAGUUGUCUAGCUUUUCUACUUUAUAGAGCGCUGGAUGGUCGCCACGUAUUUAUUUCUCUAUGGAGAAAACGAAGCAGACCCUCCAAUGAGCCAAAAGAGUUCAGUGCCUUCAAAAUGCAAGAUUCCAAGCCGACAUUGAUUAAUAUACAAGAAUUACAAAAAGAAGUACCUCCGGUGAGAGAACGAAAGUUUUGGCUGGGCAGCUCGGAAGCUGGUCUCAGAACCCCCUCCCCGUUCGCCCAAAUAAAAAUGGAAUAGGACGGGCGUUAUGAAAUUUACCAGUCGGCCUUGGACAGAUACCAUUGGUCGAGGCUAACGCCAGCAGAUCUGAAUCUACAAGGGCCCACCUCAAUUCCUGGAUUCAGUGCGCGAUGGCAUUUCAGCCAUUGUUACUUGCUGCUUGCAGGCUCGAAAAUCUGUCCUUUGCCUCUCCUCCCUGUCUCAACGUUGGUUAAUCAUGAAAUAUUGUUUAUGGUCACCCCAGGUUUCUGAUGGGCUUUAGUAAAGCCCUCCCGGUUAGAGGCGAUACAAAUCGUUUUUCAAGUUGAGAGAAUGUUCCACAAAGCUGGGACAUGGAUGGAGGUGGAAGAGGGGGAUGAUCUCUCUUCCCUGGCUUGUUCUUUGGGCCACUGCUAUUAUUCACCUGUCCCCAGUGAUAGGCUUUGGUUUGUCACCAAGGUCACAUGCAAAAUGCAUACUUGAGCAAUCCCAUUCACAGUAUGUCCAUCUUCUAGAACGGAUGCACUUCUUAUAUGGUCACCUUCUACUGAACAAUGGACACCCGCACCUAUAUUACUAACUUGCUUAGGCUUCGAAAGCAUGUCAGUCCUUUUAAUCAUGUCACUUAACCUCUAUUAGAUAGAACGAAAACAAAAGCGCAAUAGAACGGAAGCCAUUUCUUGACAAAACCGUUACUUUGGUCCGUUUCUUUACUGGCUACCUCUCUGAUGCAUGUUGAAAAGCAGAGCUGGCAUACUGAAGAGCUGACUUGUUGCAGAAGCUAGCUGCUGCGUCCCUGACCUUUUUUCCAGUUUUGUACAGAACAAUUGAGAGGUGGAUCUGAUUAGUUGCCAUCAUCCGAGAGACUUGAUGACAAUUACGUCAUAGUCACAAUAUAAACAACACGAAGGGAGUUGUAUGGAUGAUCAUUUUCCUCUCCAAUCAGCGGUGAAAGCUUUAGUCAAUACGGUGCGAAUAAACAAGUCACAGUCCUUCAAAGUAUAGUUGAAGGGAUAAUUACAGCCUUAUGAAAUCAUGAUUCUUUCUGGAAUGCUUAAAAAUAAGAGAUAACUACACUAAAAUUUUUAGAAUUUUUUUGAAAAAUGCAAUUCAAUCAUAGGACUCCGAAAAAGUACAAUCAUGAUACUUGUGGAGUUGAUUAAUGUGGUUUUUUUCUUAUUACUUUCUUAAAACACAUAGCGUUUGUGGCUUUUUCUUCUUAUUUUUUCUCUUCAUUUUCACGCUUGCUUUCUGAUGGUUUAAAUAAGAUGGGCUUAAGGCCCGUCCGCCCAAGUUGGGCCCAAAAAACCCGGCCCAUGGGAAUAUGGCCCGUGGAUGGGGGGACAUAUAAAAGGGAGGAGAGAGAAGGGAGAACGCACCUUUUGGAAAUCAACGUACGUACGUCUUCACUUCUCCCGCGCACUCUCUCUCAAAAAGAAAAAGAAGAAACAGUAAGGCAAAAGGCACAUUUCCUCUUCCCUUCAAGGCGUCAUCGGAUCGAACAGGGCCAAAUCUCUUCCUCCUAUUGGCGUCGGUGUCUAAUCUGUGGCUAACAAGGUACGCUCGAAUCCGUGGUGUGCUUUAGGAUCGGUGAUACGUGUUUUUCCCGGGCUUCGCUUCCGCAUUCGUUUUAGGGGUUCGAUUUAGUGUCGAAUCCGGUUUUUCGGGGAUCCAUUAUUCUCAACAUUGGUAUCAGAGCCCCAGUUCACGUUUUUCCCGACCCCUUUGAUGUUUUUUGAUUGAUUUUCGCGAAAGUAAUCGGCCGGUACGGAUCGGGGCGAGCAAUCCCGUUGACCGACGACCAUUGACCGUUGACCCAAAAAAAAAGAAAAAGAAUUUGUUUCUUUUUCAAUUAUGUCUGUGUGGGUUAGAGGUAAUCCAUUUUUUAUUCUGCAUUUGUUGCAUGAAUCAUGGAAAAUUAUGUAUUUUCCAUUUUGUUUAUUGUGGAUUAUAAGUGAUCUAUUUUAGUUCUGCAUUUGUUGCAGGAACUAUGAUGCGUUAUGCACGGAUACCUGCAAUCCCGAGAACAGACGAAGGAAGAGCUAGACUGAAAAGGCUGAUGAAAGAGUUAGCUGAUUAUCGAUGGCAUGACGGUGAUUUAAUAUCACACAUUGUCAGGGUCAAUCAGAUGAUACAGGAAAUCAUCUGGAAUGGUUAUCUUAUGCCGGAUUUUGAGAAGAUGCCGGCUUUGAUGAACACUCUUUCACCUGAAUGGCAAGCAGUGUUAGAUCGGCUAUGGGAGGUCAACGUGGUCCCGGAUUACAGGGGGCUAGUGGAAGCUUUUGUAAGAGAGUACUAUAGGAUUGAGUUGGCCAAAACUUCAACCCUUAGAUUGAGCGCCACAUGGCGUAGAGUAAAUGCGCCUUGGUGGCGACAUGAAAGCUCUCCAAAAGUUUUUCCAUGGUUGGCAAAUGUGCCUUCAGUUUUCUCAAAUGUUUUGACUGAUAGAUUAGAAGGGACAUUCCCUAUUUAUUUCUUAGAUUAAACAUGAGAUGUUUUAAGGGUGUAAAUAUCUCUUUCCAUGUUGAUAUUUUUCUCUGUAUAUAUUGCUUAGUGUAAUGUAUAGUUGUAUUAUGUGAAAGCAUUGUUAUUCUAUUGGAUGUUAGAUAUUAUCUGUUGCUUUCUGUUAUUACUUAUUGCUGUGGGUAGUUAGCUGUGGGUAGUAAUAGAAGUUUUUGUAACUUCAUAAAAUUUAUUUUGCAUAAGAAAAUUAUAUUAAUAAUAAUUUUGAGUUAGGAUUUUUGGAGGAUGAUUGGAAACAUAGUGACCUUUUGAUUCUAAAACCUUACUUAAAAUUGUUCAUUGAUAUAAUGGGUCUAUGCAAAGUGGAUGCAUAAAUGAUAGGCAUUAAUUAUUCGUGCAUGUAUAUCUGAUGUGUUCAGAUUGAUGGUUUCAGCAACUAAGAACGUAAUUGCUUAUAUGAACGGCAACAAUUGUGAAAUAUUGAAUAUGAAGAUUCAAUAUGUGCUGGAAAAGCAAGAAGCACUAAAAGCUCUUGACCAUGUUAUGGAAGAUCUUGAGGAUGCUGUGCGCCACCUUGAGCUGGUAGAGGACCGUUUAAUGGCAUGUGAGCUGAAAAUAGAUAUUUGCAAUGCUAGUUCUAGCUCAGAAAGAGCUUUGAGCUCUAAGCGCAAGCGUAUUGAUUCGUUCAAUAUAUGAGAUUGCAAAGGAUCAAGUCCUUAUUGCAAAAGAUCAAGAGUUAACCAACACAAGAGAGGAAAAUGUCCUUAAGUGAAGAAAAUGUCAAGGGUGAGGUGUUACAAUUGUGACAAGAAUGGUCACUAUGCUCGCGACUGUCGUGAGCCAAAGAAGGUACACACCUCUUGUACAUUUGAGAACUUUGCUUAUGUGUCAAGUUCUGAAUUAUUGGCUGAAUCCAAUCCUUUGUGGACUAUAGAUUCAAAAGCGAUAGACCAUGUAGUAAAGGAUAGAUGAUCCUUCAUGGAAUUCCGACGAGUACUAACUGGAACUAAGUGGAUCUAUGUAGGAAAUAACUCCAGAGAAGAAGUUAAAUGGAUUGGCACUUGCCAAUUGAACAUGCGUGGUGGACGCAACUUGUUCCUACAUGAUAAUCUAUAUGCUCCGGAGAUUCGUCAAAAUUUAAGUGUCUGUUUUGGUGUUGGUUAAGCUUGUUUUUGGUUUGAACUUCCAUAAUAAAGGUGUAGAUUUGUGUUUAGAUACAAACUACUAUGGUUGUUGUCACUUUCUGGAUGGUUUUAUUGUACUGAAUGUUGACUGUGGUGAUGUCAAUAUGUUAUUCCCUUGUUUCACGUCUUUUACUUCAUGUGAUAAUGAUGUGAAUGUGUGGCAUGCUAGACUUGGUCAUAUUAGCCAACAACAUAUGAAUAGACUAGCCAAAGAGGGCUUGUUGGGCAACAUUGAAAAAGUCGAUUUGCCCAUAUGUAAGCAUUGCCUAGAAGGGAAAACGACAAGGAAACCAUUUGGGAAAGGAAAAAGAGCUGAAUUUCCUAUGCAUUUAAUCCAUUAUGAUGUCUGUGGUCCAAUGAAUGUGAAAGGAAGGUAUGGGGCUGUUUAUUUCAUCACUUUUAUAGAUGAUUAUACUCGAUUCGGAUAUGUCUAUUUGAUUUCUCAUAAAUCUGAAACAAUAAGUUGUUUCAAAAAGUUUAUGAACCUGGUAGAAAAUCAAUUAGACAAGAAAAUAAAAGUAUUUAGAUCCGAUCGAGGUCGAGAAUAUUUAUCUGAUGAGUUCAGAAAAUUAUGUGAUGAAAAAGGAAUAGAAAGACAGUUGUCUAUUCCAUAUACUCCUCAACAAAAUGAUGUUGCAGAGAGAAGAAACAGGACCCUAAUGGAAAUGGUUAGAUCCAUGAUGGCGCAAGCUAACUUACCUAUCACCUUUUGGAGUGAUGCGUUGUUAACUGCUGCCUAUAUACUUAACCGGGUGCCUUCCAAAUCAGUUAUUUCCACUCCAUAACCUUUUGGAGUGAUGUGUUGUUAACUGCUGCCUAUAUACUUAACCGGGUGCCUUCCAAAUCAGUUAUUUCCACUCCAUAUGAGUUAUGGAUAGGUAGAAAACCGGACUUAAGUUUUCUUAAGCCAUGGGGUUGUGCUGCCUAUACUCAUGAGUCCUCUCACAAGUUUGGGAAAUUGGGUCCCAAAGGAAAGAAGAGUAUUUUAAUGAGAUACUCCGAACACUCGAAAGGGUAUGUGUUCAUAGGUGAGCAGGAAAGUGUGAGUAUAACUGAAUUUGAAUUACAGGAUGUCACAUCCUUAGUGGAUGAAUUUCCUAGGAGGGGCGAAAUAGGGGAAGAUGACUUCUUAUUUGAAACCUUGGAUCAAGAUAAUGAUAUUAGUGGAGUUCGUCCAAGUGGGAGUAAUAUGAGAAGUGAUGAAUUGAAUUCAACUCAUUCUCAAUUACAACCAUAUGAUGAGAUGAUAUCAUCAUUAUCUAAUCCGAGUGGGAGUAUAAUGGGGAAUGAUGUGCUAAGUGUACAAUCUCCCAUACGGCGAACAAGUCGCCAAAGUAUUCCCCGUCGACGUUUUGACAUUGAAGGGGAAACUUUUAUGGUUGCUCCACAAGAUGAGGAUGAGCCAAGAAAUAUUAAUGAGGCUCUGAAUUGCCCUAAUAAGGAAAAAUGGAUUUAUGCAAUAGAAGAGGAAAUGGAGUCAAUGAAAUCAAACCAGGUCUGAGAACUGGUUGAUCUUCCAAAAGAACGCAGAGCUAUUGGGAACAAGUGGAUUCUCAAAAUAAAGCGAAAGGCUGAUGGCUCGAUAGAAAGGCAUAAGGCUCAUCUUGUGGCGAAGGGGUAUAAUCAACAGGAAUGAAUUGAUUAUAAAGAUACAUUUUCUCCUAUAGUGAGAUUUACCUCGAUUCGCAUUAUUCAGGCAAUAGUGGCUAGUCUGGAUCUUGAGUUACAUCAAAUGGAUGUAAAGACUGAUUUCCUCAAUGGAGAAUUAGAGGAAGAAAUAUAUAUGGAACAACCUGCUGGUUUCAUAGCGAAAGGCCAAGAAGAAAAAGUAUGUCGACUUUUGAGGUCGAUAUAUGGUCUUAAGCAGUCAUCAAGACAAUGGUAUAUACGUUUUCAUAUUACCAUAAUGGCAUAUGAUUUUACGAUGAUUGAUGAUGAUCAUUGUGUAUAUAUCAAAAGAUCCAAUGAUCAAUUUGUGACAUAUCAUUAUAUGUUGAUGAUAUACUAAUUGCCGGAAGCAAUAUGGAGUUUGUUAAGACUGUCAAGAGUUGGUUGUCUUCCAAUUUUGAAUUGAAGGAUAUGGGAUUGUAAACCCAUAGACACUCAUAUUGCAAAAGGUGAAGGAUUGAGCCAUAGACUGUGUCCAAGGACUCCACAAAAGAAUGAACAAACGAAAUAUGUUCCUUAUGCUAGUGCUAUUGGGAGCUUGAUGUACGCUAUGAUGUGUACAAGACCUGACAUAUGUUAUGCAGUUGGAAUGGUGAGCAGAUACCAAUCCAAUUCAGGUCAAGCACGUUGGAAAGCCGUUAAAAGAAUACUAAGGUAUCUAAAGGGGACUGCUGAUUAUACGUUGAGUUAUUAAGGAAAUGAUCUGCAACUCUAAGGCUAUUCUGAUGUUGAUUGGGGAGGAGAUUUAAAUAAAAGAAAAUCUACCUCUGGAUUUGUUUUCUUACCAAAUUAUGGCACCAUAUGUUGGAGUAGUAAGAAACAAAAGUGUAUAGCCUUGUCCACGAUGGAAACUGAAUUCGUGACAUUAUCAGCAGCAAUAAAAGAAGAUAUUUGGCUUAAGAGAUUAUUGGAUCAUUUAGGUGUUAUUUGAAGUGCUGCAGAUUCAUUGUUGGUUAACUGUAAUAGCCAAGCAGCAAAAGCGUACAUCAAAGAUCCAAAAUAUCAUAGCAAGACCAAACAUAUAGAUACCAAGUAUACUUUUGUCAAUGAUAUGAUUGCACGAAAAGAUGUGAACUUAGAGUACAUACUACGCAUAGAAUGGUAGCAGAUCCUAUGACAAAGCCAAUACCUAGAGAUGUGUUUUGUGGCCAUAUGAAAUCUCUAGGAUUGCGUAGAGUCUGAUAUACUGGAUUGUAAUUUCCCUGAAGCGUUCACAUUUGAUGAAUUUGUAUUUUUCAUCAUUAAUGCCUAUGAAUCUUUGUUUGAUCUUUAUGCAUCUUAAUGCUCAGUGCAUUACUUUAAGUUGAGAAAGUAUGUCGGACAGAUAAAAGAUUAGCCCACUCACACGGGUAAUCGCCUCUAUUUACUGUGUGAAAAAUAGAGAUGAGACUGUUUUUAAGCUUAUUAUCUAGGUGAUAAUCGAGAGCUCAAGCUUAAAAUACAUAUGUCGCCUUAACUGAGUGUUAAGAUGAGGACAUAAUACUUAUUAUGUCCGAAAGUAAAAUACCCCACAUAUUUUACUUUAUCUGUCUAAGAUGCCAGAUGUGAGUUCUGAUGAAUUUUGUAAAAGAGUAGAUACGUGAACUCAAGUUAGACAUUGGAUAUGUCUGAACUAUCAUCUGUACGGUAUUGAAAGGUGUAGACUGAUAUUGCUAGUAUAAACACCUAGAGGGGGGGUGAAUAGGCGCACAAACAAUUUGUCGAUAUACGGAAGCAAUUCUUAACAAAUUGAAAUACGAUCAAGGUAGGAAGAGAGAAAUUGGAACACAGGAUUUAUAGUGGUUCAGCUUUUCCAAGCCUACGUCCACUCUUCCGCACUGACAGCCCACCGGCUGGAUUUCACUAUGAUCAAAAGAGUAGUUACAGCACAGCUUUGCCUUGAUUCCACAGUGUAGAUGUACUGCCACACCUCCUCAAGGUCUCUCACAAAUAUAGACUCUCUUUUGUAUACAAGUAUUCGCUCAAAGGAUUUAUCUAAACAAAUAGGAGCUUCAGACUUUAGAAUUUUUCUAUCGCGCACUUCCUCGAACAACUAAGGACGUCUUCCUUAUAUACUCCUUUAUGCCAUCAUACCCGUUGGCACUUACCAAAGGAAUUCCUCCAAUCUACCCGUUGGACGGAAUCAAUUAGGAAGAUCAUUCGAGCUAUUAAAGGAACGUGUUGAUAGCCCAUCAAUCCUGUUCGCCCAUACAAUCAGGAUCUCGGUUUCCAUAAGUAGAACCUUCCAAUAAUAUUUAGACAAUCAUCGAAUCUUCAGUCAUUGAAUCAAAUUUGAUCAAUCAAAGGAUUCUGAUACGUCUUCUCCAGCCAUGAGAUCUUCUCCAGAUGAUAAGGUUAAAUCCUGAACAAAACAUUCAGUUCGGGAUAACCUUUCUUCAACGGAUCAGUGACUGUCAAUGAGGAUAGACUUUGAGUCUUGAGUCUGGCUGUCCGGAAUUCAGACUUUAACUAACAGAGUCUGCAAACCUUUAGACUAGACUGACGGAAACGUUUUGUCAACUUCAAAACUCUUCACGAGGAUUUCUCCAACAAUCUCCCCCUUUUUUAUGGUGACAAAACCUUCCUGCAGAUUUGGAUAACUUUGACCUGCAAAACAUUUCUCAACCACAUAUGCAUAUCUUAUAGAAAUAAAUGGCUAAUAGAAUAAUACUAGAAUCUGCAACCACAGAAAAUAGGUUAGUCCAGUAUAUGAUUAAGCCAUUCAUAAGAUAUCAAUAUUGAUUAAUAAAAGCAGUAAAGUCAAGUCCAAGUCUAGGCAGUUCUUAUCCAGACACAAAACAAAGUCAAAGUCUGUCAAAAACAAACAGACAGUUAAACACAAUCCAACAAACAGUUAAAAAAGAUUGAAAGUUUUCAAAUCAUGCAUCUCUCCCCCUUUUUGUCAUCAUUUAAAAAGGAUGAGAUGAAAUCAAGAUUGCUUGGGAACGCGGACAAGCUGGAAAUCUUCCAUAGACUGAACAAUGCCUUCCAGCCUUUUAAAGUCUUCCUUCAGCUGUACAACCUCCUCACUCUUGGCAUUGGCCUGAUUCUGAAUAGAGAGGGCUUGCAUCUUUUCAUUCAAUGAACAGGAAGAAGCUUGACCUUCAUUCUUCAAGCUUUGAACUUCGCAUCCCAAGGCAUAAAUCUGACCUUUCAUCUCCAAGAGAAUAUCCAUGAUUCUGCGAAAAUCUGCUCCAUUAUCAGUCUGAGUACUUGCUUCGGCUCGAUCUGGAGUAUAAGCAGACGAUGGUGGAUCAGCAUAAUCUCGCAGGUUUGGCGAUGAAGCUUCAUGACCUUCCUCUGGAAAUUGAGAUGCAUAAACAUCUUCUGGGUCUGCAGGCGAGCGACUGACUCCUUCACUUGCAUCUGGAUGUGAAGACGUCACUCCUUUCUCCUGAUCUCCCCCUGUUUCCAUGCCUACAGGUGGAGAAGAGAUUUCCUCAGGUUCUCCUUCUUCUCUUCUUUCUUCUUCAGAUCUUUCUUUCUCUGCUUCUUGCUCUGCUUCUCUUUCUCCUUCUUCCUUCUCCUCUGCUUCUUUCGUCUUUUGUUCCGAUUCUUUCUGUGGAACAGGACGACCUAAAUUCCUCAAAGCCAUUGCAGAGAUUGUGAUGUCUUCGUCAUCAUCUUCAUCCUCAACGAGGAGAGCUCUUCUUUUCUUUGAUGAAGCAGCCAUGGGCUCCUUCCCUUUUCUCUUAGCAGCAGAAGAGAAUUGAUGAGAUUUGGUAGGAGUCUUCUCCUUGAAUUUCUCCAAUUCCUUGCUCAGUUCCUUCAGACGCAUUUUGGUUACCAUUUUCAGUCCUACCACCAUAUGAUCGCAUGAUCGAACACAAAAGAUUUGCGGAGGCUGAAUAUUCAGAUGUCUGAAUAACUUCGUAACAAGGCUUGGGUAAGGGAGUUGACCUAUGGCUUCAUCACUGCUCUAUACAUGUGAAACAUAACAGUAUGAGGGAGAGAAAACUUCUUACCACAGAGGAUGGCAUACAUCAACUUUGCCUCAGAACUUGACACAUCAGUUUUGGAAGUUGAUUUCGGCCGAAGGCAAUUGAUCACAAUUUUGUGAAGCAAGAUGUUGAAUGCAUUCAUCCGUGAGUAGGUGAUCUUCUCAUCUGUUCUCCUGUCCUUCACCAGUUCAAGUGUAGCCCCAGCAAUGGAAACUUUGAUUCGUUGAUAUCUGCCUCUCUCAACUUCUAACACAUCUGCCAGCAUAUUCAUAUCCACAACAUAGUCUUGUUCUUUAACACUGAAGGAGAAUCUAUUCGCAUCCAAAAAGCUAAGAUUUGAAUAGAAAUAUGCAGUCAAUUCAGUAUAAGCCUCAGUUGAGUCAGAGCAAAACUUUUCAAGUUGAAGAUAACUGAACUUUUCCCUCAAGUUCACUUUCACAGCAUCCAGAAAAUCAAAGUCCACACUUCUAGGGUUUAUUACCCCACGCUUCAGCAAUUUCGAGUACAGAUCCUUUUGUUCCUUUGAUCUGAACAAAUCUCCCAUUUUUCCUUGAAUUUCAGCCGCAAUACCCAUUUUCGGUUGAAAUAGACUGAACAGAUUGUCAUCAUCAUUCCCAUCUACAGGAUUCGGCCCCCAGUCACGAGGAUCACUUGGGAUAUUCGCAAGGGUUUCCUCAGCCACCCCUUUACGAGCGAUUCCCAAACUUUCCAUUUUUCGCAGAAAGAUAUAUUCGUUCAUAUAUCCUUUGUCUCUAAGAAACUCAUCAACAUAGUUCAAAGGAGUACGAAUUCCUUUUAAGGCACGAUAUAGCUUGUAAAUAAAAGCGGGCUUUUGAACUCUUACGGGGUCUGCAUCCUCGAUGAUUUCUUCCUGAUGCUGAUCAACAACGCCUUGAGGACUAGAUGGUGGAGAAUGACACUGCUGAGAAUGUUGUGGGCUCGGUUGUUGAUCUAGAGUAACUUCAUCUUCAGUAAGAUCGAAGUGCGUAGGCCCCUCACUCAUUCUCUGUGGUCCCCUGCUUGCGAUUCUUGACGACUUUCGUGAAGAAGACAUCUUUAACAGUGUUUGGAAGUUUCCUUGCUUGACUUUCCCAGAAAAGAUGACAACUUUUUGAAGAUUUAGCGAAGAAGACAAACGGGAAUGGAGGAUCGAUGCUUUCUAGGGUUUUUGAGAGGAAAGAGAGUAGAAAAGUGAAGAGAAAUCGACAGUGCUUGUUCGGUUAAAAAGAAGAGUAAACAAACCGUCACAAAGGAAAUAAAAAUAUGCCUUUUCAAAAUAACUGUCUUUAUCCGCAAAAAUAGUUAUUUCAAAAAUAACUUCUCUUUUGAAAAUGAAUCGAUGCAAUAUUUAUGUUAAUUAAAUAUAGCAACAAUUUAAACACAGUCUGAUGAUCGUACCUUUUCAAGAUAAGAUUGGAGAGAGAAAGACUUACAGUCUGAAGGUCGAGCCAAGACAGUAGAUAAAGUCUUGUAAGCCUGAGUCUGAAAGUCUUUAGACUUUGAUAUCCUCAUACCUCAAAAUGUUGAGUCUGGACCGUAUAGACUCAAAUUGAUUUUUCUCCAAAGGCUUUGUGAGUAUAUCCGCCAGUUGAUUCUUUGAGUCAACAAAUUGAAUUGAAACAUCUCCAUUUUGAACAUGGUCUCUUAUAAAGUGAUGUCGAAUCUCUAUAUGCUUUGCUCUUGAGUGGAGAAUUGGAUUUUUGGUGAGGUUGAUAGCGCUGGUGUUGUCGCAAUUAAUCUCUGUGCAUGAGUCUUCGAUUUCAAAAUCUCUUAGCUAUUGUUUUAUCCAUAGAAUUUGCGAACAGCAGCUUCCAAGAGCUAUAUACUCUACUUCUGUUGUUGAAAGAGACACAGUACUUUGUUUCCUUGAAAACCAAGACACUAUUCUGCUUCCAAGCAACUGGCAAGUUCCUGAAGUGCUCUUUCUAUCAACUCUGCAACCGGCUAGAUCUGCGUCUGAAUAUCCCAGAAGUUUAAAGUCUCCCUUCUUAGGAUACCAAAGACCGAUGCUUGAUGAUGAAGCAACUUAUUUUAUGAUGCGUUUGGCAACACUGAGAUGGGAUUCUCUAGGAUCUGAUUGAAACCUAGCACAGAUGCAAACACUCAACAAAAUAUCAAGUCUAGAGGCAGUAAGAUAAAGAAGUGAUCCAAUAAUGCUCCUGUACAGCUUUUGAUCAAUUUUCUUCCCUUCUUCAUCUUUAUCUAUCUUUAAAGAACUUGACAUCGGUAUGUCGGUCUUUUUGCAAUUCUCCAGUCCAAACCUUUUGACAAGAUCAUUAACAUAUUUUUCUUGAUAAAUAAAAGUUCCUUCCUUCAAUUGUUUUAUUUGAAGACCAAGAAAGAAUGUUAAUUCUCCCAUCAUACUCAUUUCAAACUCAUCUUGCAUAGACCUUGAAAAUUUCUUGCACAGACUUUCAUUAGAGGAUCCAAAAAUAAUAUCAUCCACAUAUAUUUGAACAAGUAAGAAACUUUUGUUUUCCUUCUUGAUAAAUAAAGUCGUAUCCACUUUACCUUUGACAAAACCAUUUUGUAUUAGGAACUUACUUAAUCUGUCGUACCAAGCCCGAGGUGCUUGCUUUAAACCAUACAAAGCCUUUUUCAGUCUGAAGACUGAGUCUGGCUUCUUUGGGUCUUCAAACCCUGGUGGUUGUUCCACAUAUACUUCCUCAUGGAUAAAUCCAUUUAGGAAGGCGCUUUUGACGUCCAUUUGGAAUAACCUGAAAUUCUUAUAACAGGCAAACGCAAGUAAAAGUCGAAUAGCUUCUAACCUUGCCACUGGAGCGUAAGUCUCAUCAUAGUCUAUUCCCUCUUCUUGCGUAUAUCCCUUGGCCACGAGUCUUGCUUUAUUUCGUACGACUUUUCCUUUCUCGUUCAUUUUGUUUCUGAAUACCCAUUUAGCUCCAAUAACAGUUUUACCUUUUGGUUGGGAUGUCAAUUCCCAAACAUCAUUUAUGCUGAACUGUCUGAGCUCUUCUUGCAUAGCUUCAAUCCAGCUUUCAUCAAAUAAAGCUUCUUCUAUGCUUUUUGGUUCAAUUUUAGAAACGAGUGCCACAGCACUGGACUCUUCUCGCCUUUUGGAUCUUGUGCGAAUUCCUUCAUUAAUUUCGCCAAUUAUAAGAUCUUUGGGAUGACUGGACUUAUGCUUCCAGUUACUCGUUGAUUUGUCUGGUAGAUGAUCUCUUUCUUUAUUUGGAUCUUCACUAACAACCUGAUGCUGGUUUUCCAGAGUCUGAGAUGCUUCUUGAGUUGUAGACUUUGGAGGGUCUGGAGCAGGUUCAGACUCUUCUUGAUGAGUCUGACUUGACUCAUCUUGCGUUGAGUCUUGAAAUUUGACAUUCAUUGACUCCUCUACAGACUGGCUCUUCUUGUUAUAGACUAUGUAAGCUUUGCUUGAAGUAGAAUAUCCAAGAAAGAUACCUUCAUCUGAUCUUUCUUCAAACUUACCAACUCGAUCUUUUGCAUUUUUCAAUAUAAAACAUUUACAACCCAAUACAUGAAAGUAUGAAACAAUAGGCUUCUUUUCUUUGAAUAACUCAUAAGGGGUUUUCUGAAGAAUAGAUCUUAAGAAGACUCUAUUGAUGAUAUAGCAAGCUGUUGAAACAGCUUCUGCCCAAAAUCGAGAAGAAAUUUUACUUUCAAUUAAAAGAGUUCUAGCCAUUUCUUGAAGAGUUCUGUUCUUUCUUUCCACAACUCCAUUUUGCUGAGGAGUAUACGGAGAGGAAAACAUAUGCUUACAGCCAGAUUCAUCACAGAAUUUUGUAAAAUCUUGAUUUUCAAAUUCACCUCCAUGAUCUGUUCUUAUACUAGAGAUAACACAACCUUUUUCAUUUUGAACCUUUUUAGCAAAUUUUUCAAAAUACGAAAAGGUUUCGGACUUACUUGAAAGGAAAUAUACCCAAGUAAAACGAGAGUAAUCAUCAACAAUUACUAGGCAAUACUUCUUACCCCCAAUACUCUGAGUUCUAGUUGGUCCGAAGAGAUCCAUAUGCAGCAACUGUAGAACAUAAUUAGUAGAGACAUAAUUUAUUGGCUUAAAAGAAUUUCUUACCUGCUUUCCCAGAAUACAUGGAGUGCAUGAAUCAGUCUUUUGGUAUGGUAAUUUUGGUAGACCUCGAACAAGCUGCUUUGAUGAGAUUUUGGCUAAUUGCUUCAUGUUGACAUGACCAAGCUUUUUGUGCCAUAAGCAUGCUUCGUCUUGAAUUGAGAUAAGACACUGCGAUUCAUUUGGUUUCACAUCCAAAAGAUAGAUAUUUCCAUGUCUUCGACCCAUGAAAGACUGAGUAGUGUCUUUACUGAUUCCAGAACAUGUUCCUUCUUGAAAGAAGAUCUUGAAACCAGUAUCACACAAUUGACUAAUGCUGAGAAGAUUGUAAUUGAGUCAUUCCACUAGGGAGACAUUACUUAUUGUGAGAGUACCAAUUUUCACUGUUCCAAAUCCCACAAUACUUCCUUUGCUAUUUCCUCCAAAUGAAACUUUUCCACCAUUUACUUGAGCAAGCUUUAUAAAACAAUUUGAGUCUCCUGUCAUGUGUCUUGAGCAUCCGCUGUCAAGAUACCACUUUACCUGUUUCUUGACAGAGACCUCAAAUUCACUGUCUGAGUCUGAUCCUGAGUCUGAUCCAGAGUCUGAGUCUGAUUGUGCCAUCAGACAUAGAUUGGCAUAUUCAUUAUCACUUUCUUCACACUCAGUAUCACUCCAGGUUUCAGCUUUGAGAGCUUUUCGAAAUUUUUCAGCUUUUCCUUUCUUCUUCUUCAAAAGAGGACAGUUGGGUCUGAUGUGUCCCUUUUUCUUGCAUUCAAAGCAGACUACAUCUUUAUUUGGUUCCUCAUCAUCAACAGACUUGGUCUGCUGUCUUUGAAAGCCUUGUUUCUUUGAGUUGAACCUUCUUCCUUUUCUGUUUAGUUUUCUGAAUCUUCUUAUCAUGAGAGCAAGCUCCUCAUCGUCCAUAUCAUCUUCAGAAUCUGUAUCAUCAGAAUCAUCAUUUGAUUUUAAUGCAAUGGAUUUCUUACCUUUUGGAUCUUCAUCUUCAUUGAUCCUUUCCACUUCAUAGGACUGAAGAGUUCCAAUCAGCUCGUCGACAGAUAGUGGCAUAAUUCUCUGCGUCUCUCUUAUCGAAGUCUUUAUGUGAUUCCAAUCCCUUGAGAGUCCACGCAGUAGCUUGUUUACCUUCAUGGGAUCAGAAGUUGGUUGACCUUGAUUUUCAAGACCAUUCACAAUAUCUGUAAAACAACUAAACAUGUCAGAUAUUGAUUCUCCUGGUUUCAUUCUGAAGGCUUCGUAUUGACCAAGAAGAAUGUUGAUUCUUGUUUCCUUCACUCGAUCUGUUCCUUCAUAGGUGAUAUGCAAUAUGUCCCAAACUUCUUUUGCUGUACCACAAGAAGAUAUUCUAUUAUAUUCAGUUGGUGAUAAAGCACAAUAUAAGGAGUAAAUUGCUUUUGCAUCGAGUGUCUGUCUCUUGGUUAUUUCUUCCUGAGACAUUCCGCUGGAUUCUUCAGUUUCUUUUCCUCUUUCAAAGACUGAUGCAGUGGUAGGAGUAAUUCCUUUUUCUACAACGUCCCAUUCCAGAGGAUCCUUUGAUCGUAGGAAAGCUUUCAUUUUGUUCUUCCAGAUGUUGUAAUCCUUUCCAUCAAAGUAGGGUGGUCUGGUAUUGCUUUGCCCUUCCAUCAGCCCUGGUGCUAACAUACUAGCCAUGGAUCUUUUACUAUGAAGUAAAACACUUCAAAUAAAGUAAGUACACGAGCUCUGAUACCAAUUGAUAUUGCUAGUAUAAACACCUAGAGGGGGUGAAUAGGCGCACAAACAAUUUUUCGAUAUACGGAAGCAAUUCUUAACAAAUUGAAAUACGAUCAAGGUAGGAAGAGAGAAAUUGGAACACAGGAUUUAUAGUGGUUCAGCUUUUCCAAGCCUACGUCCACUCUUCCGCACUGACAGCCCACCGGCUGGAUUUCACUAUGAUCAAAAGAGUAGUUACAGCACAGCUUUGCCUUGAUUCCACAGUGUAGAUGUACUGCCACACCUCCUCAAGGUCUCUCACAAAUAUAGACUCUCUUUUGUAUACAAGUAUUCGCUCAAAGGAUUUAUCUAAACAAAUAGGAGCUUCAGACUUUGGAAUUUUUCUAUCGCGCACUUCCUCGAACAACUAAGGACGUCUUCCUUAUAUACUCCUUUAUGCCAUCAUACCCGUUGGCACUUACCAAAGGAAUUCCUCCAAUCUACCGUUGGACGGAAUCAAUUAGGAAGAUCAUUCGAGCUAUUAAAGGAACGUGUUGAUAGCCCAUCAAUCAUGUUCGCCCAUACAAUCAGGAUCUCGGUUUCCAUAAGUAGAACCUUCUAAUAAUAUUUAGACAAUCAUCGAAUCUUCAGUCAUUGAAUCAAAUUUGAUCAAUCAAAGGAUUCUGAUACGUCUUCUCCAGCCAUGAGAUCUUCUCCAGAUGAUAAGGUUAAAUCCCGAACAAAACAUUCAGUUCGGGAUAACCUUUCUUCAACGGAUCAGUGACUGUCAAUGAGGAUAGACUUUGAGUCUUGAGUCUGGCUGUCCGGAAGUCUUCAGACUUUAACUAACAGAGUCUGCAGACCUUCAGACUAGACUGACGGAAACGUUUUGUCAACUUCAAAACUCUUCACGAGGAUUUCUCCAACAUAGACAUACGCUCCAUGGGAAAUGAGUUAAUACCUAAUACGUAUUUCAUACUACGUAUGCAUAAGCCGACCAAUAAGAGUGGCAAAAAGUUUGAUCUCAACUUUUAUGACGUGUGAGACUCUUGAGGAAAAGAGUUCCUCAAUUUUAGUGCUCUCAUGACUUUUACUUAUUCUCAAGGUUUCUAUUUAGUGUUUGCUAUAUUAGAAUGUUGCCAAUGGUCAUGAGUUAAUUCGAUCUAAUGGGACAUUUCUAGAAAAGUAAGCUGAACUGAAAUUGAGAGUUUGAAGGAAAGAGGAAGAUCGAUUUUGGGGAAUCACAUUGUAGUUUUGUAUUCACUGGUCGACCAAUUAUGACUGUCUUUGUGAUAAUUAUAAUUGUGAAUACAAUAUAUAUAUCAUGUUUAAAAGAGAUCAAGAGAGAUAUAAAAUGUGAUCGAUCGAUCUAGGGUACUGCAUACUAAAUCUACUCAAAGCGUGACGUCCAUUAUGAGCUAUUAUAUAUUCCUAACAGAUGUAUAGCAACGAGCUCUCAAAGUAUGCUGGUCACACGGAUUAUUCACCGGUAUGAAUGUUGAAGAGAGGUAAAGAGAAUCCUGUUCGGCCCACCAUGUGCGAGUGGGAGAUGAUGGUUUAUAUAAGAUGGGCUUAAGGCCCGUCCGCCCAAGUUGGGCCCAAAAAGCCCGGCCCACGGGAAUACGGCCCGUGGAUGGGGGGACAUAUAAAAGGGAGGAGAGAGAAGGGAGAACGCACCUUUUGGAAAUCAACGUACGUACGUCUUCCCUUCUCCCGCGCACUCUCUCUCAAAAAGAAAAAGAAGAAACAGUAAGGCAAAAGGCACAUUUCUUCUUCCCUUCAAGGCGUCAUCGGAUCGAACAGGGCCAAAUCUCUUUCUCCUAUCGGCGUCGGUGUCUAAUCUGUGGCUAACAAGGUACGCUCGAAUCCGUGGUGUGCUUUAGGAUCGGUGAUACGUGUUUUUCCCGGGCUUCGCUUCCGCAUUCAUUUUAGGGGUUCGAUUUAGUGUCGAAUCCGGUUUUUCGGGGAUCCGUUAUUCCCAACACUUUUCCUAUCACUAUUCAUCUUCUUCACCGCACAAACUCAACGACGAUGCAGUCAUCAUUAGUGUUUGCCCGCCAACCAAGUCUCGGGAGAAAUGUCACCACCAAUCUCUUCCCUACCGUUGACAGCCAGUGGCGAGGCUAAACAAGAUCCCCUAGUUUCAACUCACCUUUUUUGUAGUUCCAAGCAGCCUUUUUUUUUUUUUAACUAUGACAGUUCUCGAGCUGUCCCAAAUGCUCAUCCCGUGCUCCGUAGACUUCUGAGUAAAGGCCAGCGACACCUAGAAUCCACCACCGACCGAGAUCCAAACGCCCUGUUUUCAUGCUCAUGUCUUAAUCAUAACUCACCUUUUUGCUCGUUCACAGCUUGUUGUGCAUUUACCAAUAAUCUCUUGAAGACGUAAUCAUGGUACCUGAACAUUGUUACAUGAUUGACAUAGCAAGAAUGACUAGGCUUAGUGUCAUCCAAGAUGCCACGACUCUCAAAGCAAUAUUUUAAUUCAUUAAUGCCUUUAUCUUAUAGGUAAUGAAAUUUUUUUAUUGCCGACAUUUUAGUUAUCUAUCAAAGUUGUAAACUUCUUUUCUUUAUCAUAUAUAUAUAUAUAUAUAUAUAUAUAUAUAUAUAUAUAUAUUUGUUUAAGUUAUCCUUUGCUGCAUCGUAGAAUGUAAAAAGGAGUUUGGGGUAGGUCGGAAGAGAGAGGUUGUAUCCCACAUGCGGAAAAAAGAGUAGGUGGGGGAACAAAGUGGGUCAUUACAAGUGCAAGAUUGAAUCGAUCGAUUAUCUGAGACCUAAUUUCGCUUUUUCGAAUGGUGAUUACGAGGCCUCUUGGAUUCAAAUGGAAAUAAUUCAAUGUCAACUCCCUCCAGAGCAGUCGUUCGUGGUCUCACUUUUGACUUUGUAUCACCUAAGUCCAUUCUAUUAAUCAGCCAUGUUACAAGAUGCAAUGCUACUCUUCACUAUAUAUACCAACAAAAGCAAAGCCAUAAGAUCCAAAAUGCGCUGUUAUUAGUUAUCUAACUCGCUGUAUAUAUGUUUCUUCCCUGCUAGUGUUUCCUUUUUCAGGAUGUGCGAGUUGCCAGCACCCGUUGGGACAUUUUGCGCCCAUGUCAACAUGGACCAAUUGCCUAUUUCAGUACAAAGUGCACAUCCAUGACCGUAAGGGGCUGUUUGUUUGUGUUCUUUCUUUUUGAUCAUGAACACAAUUUUUAUUUUUUUGUUCUUAAGAACAAAAAAAUAAUAGAAACGCAUUUGUUUACGUUUUUGUUCCUGGGACUUGUUUUUGUUUCAGGGAACAAAUUUGAAACAGAAACAAGAAACAAGAAAAACUUAUUUCUUGUUCCCAAAGCACUUCUAAGAAACAAAUUAUCUUUCCUAUUUUUUCCUUCUUUUUCUUUUCUUCUUCUUUUUUCUUUGGCUGGUCGCUGGAGCGUCGCCAGCCCCCGGCAAGGCUUAGCCUCGCCUUGGCUGGGCCAGCUCGAGCUCGCCCAAAUCCGGCGAGGCCGCCAGCCCUUGUCUGUCAAUCGCCGGCCAUAGUCGAGGCUGGUGAUCGACCAAAAGGAAGAAAAAAUAAAAUUAAAAUUAAAAUUUAAAAUAUUAAAAAAUUAAAAGAAACAAAAAAUUUGUACAAAUUUACCAAACGUGUUUCUGUUCUUUUUCUAUUCCAAGACCAAGUUUACCAAACGUGUUAUUCUAUUAAAAAAUUGUUUCUCAGAAUAGAAAUAGUUUUUUCUAUUUCUGUUCCCUGAAAUAAUUUUUGAAUAAAAAUGUAACUAAAUGCACCCUAAGAGGCAAAAGUGGGCGGCAGCCUUCCACCGUGUAGCCGGCGAGAACUGGACACAUGGAGAGACAAAAUUACAAUCUUGUGUUGAACCCACGUGUAAAGUUUUCGAGCACGACCAAGCAAGAGCACCACGGAAAGCCAUACGGGUAACAAGAAAUAGGGGAAGGAGUGAAAGGAGCCUUGGAACGACAACGAAGUAAGAGAAACCUCCAAGAGCAGAGCAGUGAGCAUCGUGAGGAUGUUAAACACUCGGGCAUAACAAGCGGGGGCCAAUGAUAGAUGAGCAACAUGUGCCAAUGUGCAAUAGAACAGAAGACAGAAGAUGGCAACGUAGGUGGGAGACCAGCGGGUGUGAAAUAGGAUCUUGGGUUCGGCUUGAUAUUUUACCUCGGUCAAGGUGAAAGCUUUAGUUAUAACCAGGCGAAUAAAAAAUAUGAUCCUUUCAUGGAGUGGAAAGGAAAAGUAAUGGCUUAUCAAAUAAUCAUCCUCGCCAAAAUUCUUAAAAAUAAUGACUCACAAUUGAAACACAUAUUCAACUAGUACAAAACUAGAAAUUCAGAUUUUCUCUUCCCCUUUGACUUCAAACCCGCCAAUUCAUUUCUCUCUAUAGGAUUUCACCCAGUUUGACAUGAUAUACAUGGUGACAUAACAUUCAGCUCAACAAUGACAGGUAACACACAGUUAACAUUUUGAAAGAGAAAAUUGCUCUUGCAGUCCUCAUUAAGCUACGAAUUUGUCCAAGAAAACUAUUUCCAUUAAGUAAUGUCAAACUUGUCAGAUAAAGAGGUAAUAGGGACAAAGUUCUUGAGAAAAACUUCAUAUUCAACAUUCUCUGUGAAAAACAGACCAUCACUCAAAGGACUAUAGGACCAAGAUUGACUAAAUACUAGUGAAUAUAUUAUUUCAUCCAGAAGAUUAAUCACAAAAUAACACAAUAACUAUUCAUCCCCAGGAUAACAUGAUUACUAUAUGCGAAAUGACUUGAAGAAAUGAGAUGUCCAGAAGAUUAAUCACAAAAUAACACAAUGACUGUUCACCACCGGAUGACAUGAUAAAUAAAUAGACGGAUUCAUUUCAGUGCCAGUCACACCUCAACAACUUCCCACCUGACCAAAAUUCAAUUUCUAACUACAUGUCUCUGAAAGAUGAGAGAAUUCAAAUACCUCACAAAAAUCUAAGCAUCUUCCGUAGGAUGCAACACUUAACAUCCAUUUGUCUGCAGCUCCACAAAAGGGUCCCAAUUCAAUAAAUUGUCUAGAAAGCUCUAAGACAAGAUUCCUCCUACCUUGGUUUAGUGACAGUCACGUUAAAAUUCUAGUACUUGUUUUUUAACCUUAGACUUGAGGGUUAUUAUCCCACAGCCUAUGAGCCCUGAGCUUGAUAACUCGACCUCAGCUUGGCGUCGCCUUCUCCUUGCGCUCUUAGACAAUUUACGUGAAUCCUCAUGUAAUUCAACUUGCAGUUCCUUUCCAUCUUCUGAGCUAUCCCUCUCACCUUAACCGAGAGUCGAUAACUGUGAUCCCUACAUUGAUCAUUUCCUGUUUUGAGCCCAAACAGAGCAUUGCGGACAGCUUUCAAUAAUUGCCUUGGGUAAGCAUUUUGUCGGCACGUACACUUUGUUACAAUUUUUUAUUGUCUUUUUGACCUUUUAAGUAUGUCUCACUUCCUAUCUCAUCUUCACAAUUUCUAAACUUCAGUUGGAUGUGCCUUUUUUUUUUUUAUUGUCUAAACUCAUGUUGAUAAAUUGUUUGUAUGAAACAUUAAAUCCCUUGUUAAUAUCUUGUAGAUAAAAUUAGAGAGGUGCUGAAGGUCAAUCAGGAAAUGAAAGAUCUUGCCAAGCUGCCCAUUGCAAAGAGGUCACUUCUCAUGUUUGGCAAAUUCGCAGAGGAUACAAUUAUGCUACAGCUUUGGAAGGUUCUUUAAAAGUAAAGGAAGUGGCAUUGGUGCACAGUGAAGAAAUACUUGCUGGUGAAUGAAACAUGGUUCUCUGGCUCUGGUGGACAAGAGUCUUCCUAUUGUAGUGAUUGCUACUCAUGAUGCUUGCUUCAGGUUAGCUUUUGUCGUACAGGUUUACUCGCAUCGGUGAAAUCUCUAUUUGUUCUGAAGCUGAAGGUGUCAAUGUUAACAGCAAGCACCAAUUAGUUAUUCAGCAACUCCAUGCCCGCAAAGGACGCCUAAUUGUCAUGUGGUCGAGGGAGAAUGCUGCAGCUGUGUCUCUUGGUGGAGCACGUGGAGUCUUUGAAGUUCCUCAAGUGGUGGACUGUCGUAGUCAAUAUUCCUUUGCAGGUACAGAGUACUUCCAAUAGUUUUCUACGCUUGCCAAGAUGCAAUAUCUUAUUUUCCCAUUCUACUGAAUGUGUUAUAACUUGCUGAAGAUGAAGCUUUGAUGUUGAUGAGGUGUAGCUGGAUGGGAGCAUCUAGCUUUCUGUUUCCUUAAUUUGUUUUAUGCUUUCGGUGUUUGUUUUAUGAUUUGGCGUUUAAUUCUAAACGAGAGUAUGUUUUUAAGUCUUAAUAAAAACAAAAGAAAUCAAUUUUAUUGAUUGAGCCUCCUACGUGCUGAUGCUGACGAUUUCAAUAGCCAUACCAACAUUAUUAAAACCCAAGAGUUGGGCAGAAAAGGGGGCACUUGAUGACAGGAAAGCCGGCGACCAAAGCAUGGUGGACAACUGCUGUGUCCUUUACAUGGAAAUCAAAGGACGGGGGGUUCUUGGCGGUUCAAAUUGAAAAGGAAAUGGUUUAAUUUUUUUUUUCUCUUUAUCAUUUAGGAAAGACAAGAAAAUUUCAAGAUAGCAAACAUUCUCUAAAACUUCUCUUAGACUCGAACCCAUAAUUGAUGAUAGAACUAGAUUACUAAUCCUUGAUUAUUGAGGAAUCCUUCAUUGUUUGUGAAUGACUGACUUUUUUUCAAUCUUUUCGACCUUAGUUCUAUAGGAGUACGUCAGAAUUUUGCUGUUUUUAUUUGUUUAUUUAUUCAUUGCUUAUAGAAUAUUUUCACAUUCCCGUUCUUCCUUUCAAAUAGCCGGUUUCAAUUAAUUUGUUAGACAUGAGAUAUUGUUUAACAUUUGGGGUUUAAUUGUCGGCGUAUCAUCUCAAGUUCCUAAGAGGAUACAAUGUCGACUUGACCAAGAGCCUUGCAAAGAGUGUGACAACAAAGUAGAAGCCCACUAACAAAUUCCUUCUUAUUGUGUAUACUCAGCAGCGAAAUAGAUUAUGCCAUGAUAAUGUAAAGCACCCUUUGGACACAAGAAUAUGCAUUUUGCUAAUCAUUUGUACUUUAUUGAAUGGCAGUCCCUGCAAGAUCUUUAUUUAUGAUCAAUUAGGAAUAACUGUCGUAAUCAACCUUCUUGCACGUUUAUGGCUUGUUAUGCAUUUACAUGUCAAUCUACCUUGAAGUGUCACCUGAACAUUGUUUCAAGAUGGAGGUUGGAAGAGGAAGAUUGUAUUCUUAUUCGGGAAAAGAAAGUAGGCGAUAUAACAAAAAUGGGGUCAUUAAAGGUGCAAGAUUGAUGUAAUCGAUUGAGUAUCUAAGACAUGAUUUGCUUCUUUCAUUAAAUUGUAAGGUUGGCAUGAUAUGUUACUUUAUAAUAUGGUCUGAUUUGUAGACACAUAGAGGUCUCGUGUAUUCAAAUGAAAAGAACUUUGAUGUCAACUUGUUGCAAAGCAGUCCACUCUAUCACUUGAGGUGCAUUUGUUUCGGUGGAAAUUUUUUUUAAGGAAGAUGUCUUCCUCAUUUUUUGAUAUUUGGUUCACUUAAGAAAAUGAGUCAUUUAACUUAAAUUCAAGAAAAUAAUUUCCCCUUUAAAGAACCGGAAAACGUUUUCAAAAGUGUUUUCCUAGUCUUUGGGUGCUAGGUUAAUGAAAAUUUUAUUCUUAUAAAAUAAUUUUUCAAAAAAAUCGAAAUUUUAUUUAUUUUUUUAAAUUUUGAAUUUGUACUUAUUAUUUAUUUUCUUUUCUAUUUCCUUUCCUUUCCUUUCCUUUCCUUUUCUCUUCUUUUCUCUUUUCUGUCCUUACCUGCUGUAAACCUAGCUCCUCCUCCCCUCUCCUUCUCCUUCGCCCCUUCCCCUUCGCCGCCGCUCUUCGGUACGCCGUCGCCGGCCGCGUCCGGAGGAUCGUUGCCGUUCAGAAUGGCUCAGCCUGCCGCGAGCUCUGGUCCGUCGCCGUUCGCGUCGAGUUCCUCUUCGCCAUUGCUUGCCUCGUCGGGAAGCCCUGCUGCUUCUCUGUUCGGCACGCCUGCGCCUUCUUCCAGUGCAAUUGCAGGUUCGUCCUUGUUUGGGCCGGCCCCUGCCUGUGCUUCGAGCUCGGCCGAGCUUCGGUGGACGGAGCCGGCGUAGAGGGAGGCGAGGUCGUCGGAGAUGGCGGCGGUGGCGGUGGACAGGAGGAAGGAGCGAUGGGUGAGGUGGAGAGGCGGAUGGGAGAGAAGAAAAAAAGAAAAAAAGAGAAAAAAAUAAAUACUAUUUAAUUUUUUGUUUGUUUGAGAUAAAGUAUUUUCCAAUGAAAUCCAAACAUCAAAAAACAUGUGCAAUCGUAUAUUAUUAAACAAAGGAAAACUCAUCAUACUCCUAUCAGGAAAAUAUUCACUUUUUCCACCUAUAUUAACAGGUGAACAUUACAAAAGCACAGCGCUAAGCUCCGACCGUGCUGUUAACGAUUGUUAGGUUUCUUCCCAGCUCGUGUUUCAUUUUCCAGGGGUGUGCUAGCGGUGGAGACCCCCGUAGGACAUCUGCGGCCGUGUCGACCUAGACCGAUUCCCAGUUCCUGCACGGAGCGCACGUCCAGCAUGGCAAAGGGGCAAGAGCUGCAGGGCUGCCCUUUCAGCGUGUAGACGGCAAGAACGGAACAUGACCUCAAAGAUAGAUUCAAUCUUGUGCUGGACCCACACGUAAAGGAUUCGGGCGAGAGGCCCGGCAAGCAACUCGAAUAGCAAGAGAUAGGGGAAAGAGCGAAAGGGGCCCGGGACCAACAACGAUGCAAGGGAGGCCACCGAGAGCGUGGCGGCGAGCAUCAUGAGGAUGCGGAACGCCGGGGCACAGCAAGCAGGACCCAACGACAGAUGAGCUGCGAGCGCCAGUGCGAAAUAGAACAGAAGGCAGUAGACAGCAAGGGAGGUGGUGAAGGGGUGGGUCUCGAAUGGAGACUCAGGUUUCCCUUGAUAUUUCACCUCAACGAAGUUGAGAAGCGCAGAAACAGUGAAGGCGAGAAUGGUGUAGAGGAUGAUUAUGGAAAUGGUCGGAGAAAGGGAUGGCUAGAGUGGAAAGCAUAUCUUGGGGUUUUAUAGUGGAAUUUGAAGACAAGGGCAGUCUUCCACGAGUAUAGCAACUUAGUAAUUUCCCCAAAGGAUUCGCUUUCUGUAAGUUUCCAGUAAAUUUCGCCAAAAUAUUAUAGUAAUGCUAAGUCAGCGGGCGACGACCGUUUUGACUCGAGCGACUUCUUCUCGGCACUUCCACGUUGCCUUGCGAUCUUGCGAUCGACGACGUGGCCACGCUCGACGUCAGCAAUAGCGUAUAAUCCCUCUCGAGUGUCCACUCGGGAAAAAAUAUUGGGUGGUCCGGGACCACCACGUCAGUGUGGUCCCGGACCACAAAAACGGCGCCGGUGGUUUGCUUUAGCCGGAGUACUUUUGAAAUCGGGUAUAACUUGUCGGGAGGCGGGGGUCCGGCUUCAAAAUCAUGUUGGAUCUCAUGGUGUUAGAUGANNNNNNNNNNNNNNNNNNNNNNNNNNNNNNNNNNNNNNNNNNNNNNNNNNNNNNNNNNNNNNNNNNNNNNNNNNNNNNNNNNNNNNNNNNNNNNNNNNNNNNNNNNNNNNNNNNNNNNNNNNNNNNNNNNNNNNNNNNNNNNNNNNNNNNNNNNNNNNNNNNNNNNNNNNNNNNNNNNNNNNNNNNNNNNNNNNNNNNNNNNNNNNNNNNNNNNNNNNNNNNNNNNNNNNNNNNNNNNNNNNNNNNNNNNNNNNNNNNNNNNNNNNNNNNNNNNNNNNNNNNNNNNNNNNNNNNNNNNNNNNNNNNNNNNNNNNNNNNNNNNNNNNNNNNNNACAUGCCUGUCUGAUUAUCCGAAACUUUCAAUGUUUCCGAUGGCCAGCCCGUGAGAUUUCCGUAACAAGUUUCCUUUUUGAUAUUCGUACACAAAGUACAUCUCUCCGAUAUUUCUCCUUCCGAUCUUCCUCAAUUACAACUUUUUGUAAUACGUCUUGUCAGAAUCUACGCUCUCAUGUAGGGGCGUGCCUUAUAAACGAGGUUCUUACCCCUUAAUUAGUCCAAAAGAACAAUCUGACAUUCCUUCAAGCGGGGCCCCUCCCGUCCGCCCCCGCAUCCUCAAGAGUUGUCCUGCCACACCCGGUUGUGGCGGUCCCGGACCACCCAAUAUUUUCUCGUCCACUCGGUGGGGUGGUCAUGUGAAGCCACACACGGAUGUGAAAAUUUUCUCUAACAGGCUUAAUAUCCUAAAAAAUAAAGCUCGCUACCAAUUUUAUCCUAUAGUCAUUUUAGCAAGAAUAUUUAGGUUCGCUCCCAAUUUUAUCCCAAUUCCAUACACAGAGAGAGAUACUUCUGAAAAACAUAUUCUACAAAUCAUUUUAUAGGAAUAUGAUGGGAAAAAUUAUAAAAAAUUUCAUUUUCUUAGGAUAUUCCACAAAAAACUCCAAAAUGGUACACAUGUGAUAAAUUUAUCACAAACUAAUUUUUUUACUACCAAAACUUCAAACUGAUACAUUUAUGAUAAAUUUAUCAUCUAUUAGUUUCCAUUAAAUUUGAUUAAUACCACGAAAAUCUCUAAGCUAAUAUGCCCGUUAAAUUGGGAGUCUUCAAGGGUUUGGCUCCAUAAGAUUCUUUCUCAAAGCUUUGACAAUACGGCCUAGCCUCUUCAAACUAAAAUUGGGCAAGGACGAUCCAUUGGAUCUAUUCCUCUUUUCUUAUGCAUGUGGAAUUAUGUAUCAGAUUCAAAAGCAAAACGCAAAAUGCAAAAAAAAAAAAAAAAAAGAGUCAAAUGAUUGAGUACAUAAGAUGACCUUUGUGUAAGAAUUGUGGUGUGGUUAUUCUAAUUCACUCAAGUCACAGCAAUAUAAUAUGAGUUAUUGGUAGCACGUGUUCACUUGUUUAGUUUAAUAGAAGAUAUAGGCUGCCAACCACUUAAGGUUUGUUUGAUAAUCAUUCUAUAUUUCUAUUUUUCUAUUAUUUUGUUCUUAGAAACAGGAAAGGAACAAAAAUUCAUUUGGUAACAUUAGCGAUUUUUUUUUUUAUUUCUCCUGAAUAAAUUAGUAGCCAGGGAAUAGAUUUGGAACGGAAACAAGAAGUAAGUAAAAACUUACUUCUUUUUCUUGAGAAUAAAAAGAGAAAUAAGGCUAUUUUUUAAAAACAAGCUCAACGUAACCUAACGCUUGUUUUUACACAAUCAACACAAGGUCCAAUUUCCUGACCUAAUCCAAGUCCCCAUUUUUCGGAAUAAAAAAAAUCAGAAAUUUAGGAAAAAAAUUAGAAAUUAGAUUUUGAGUAGUUUUACCAGAUUUUAGAGUUAAUUCUAGUUUAGAAUUAGUUUAGCAUAAAAAUUAUGAAAUUGUUUGAUGAAAAUUGGAUUCAAAAUUGAAUAAGCUUUUAAGGCCUUACUAUAUGGAUUUUUGAAUGUUGUUUCUUUUAGAGACAAUGUUAGGUCGCAAGAGCUUGGUGACUCCGGUAUUCUUCCUUUAAGAUAAUAUUAGAGACAUCUUUCAAAUCAUCUUUAGUUCUAUUUUAAUAGAAAAAUAGAUGAAUUUGAAUAAGUAUUUUGCAUUAUCAUUUGUCUUGUGUUUAUAGCAAAUAAGUCUAUGCUCCAUGAAUUUUCGAUGUCAUUUCCUUAAAGGUUUGACGAGUUUGUACAAAUAAGUGCACCAAAAAUCGACUCCAUCCUCAGUUGUUCUGUCAUCGCCCAUUCUACUGAGCAACGUUUGCUCUUUUUCUUGCAAUUAAAAAUGGUCAAAAGGUCGAGCGACCCAAAGAGGAGAGAGGAAAAGAUAGGGAAAACGUUGACAUUUAUAAUUGUGUCCCACGGACAAGUCAGUGGGAAUCGGCACGUGUCGGUGGUCCGACCGUUAUUUGCCUCCCUCCUAAUCUUUUGUUUUCUUGCGGGUUCCCCUUUGUCCGUAUUAACAAAGGAGAAAAUAUGCCACGGAAAAAAAAAAAAAAAAUCAAAGCUCCCACCCUUUGGUUCGACGCCUGGACAGGGUUGGCCCGGGGGGGCACGUGUCGCCGCCUCCUGCUUGGUGGCUCGCGACAAAUAUCUGUCCGGAGAGAGAGAAUCUAUUCCUUGGAGGCUAUUCGANNNNNNNNNNNNNNNNNNNNNNNNNNNNNNNNNNNNNNNNNNNNNNNNNNNNNNNNNNNNNNNNNNNNNNNNNNNNNNNNNNNNNNNNNNNNNNNNNNNNNNNNNNNNNNNNNNNNNNNNNNNNNNNNNNNNNNNNNNNNNNNNNNNNNNNNNNNNNNNNNNNNNNNNNNNNNNNNNNNNNNNNNNNNNNNNNNNNNNNNNNNNNNNNNNNNNNNNNNNNNNNNNNNNNNNNNNNNNNNNNNNNNNNNNNNNNNNNNNNNNNNNNNNNNNNNNNNNNNNNNNNNNNNNNNNNNNNNNNNNNNNNNNNNNNNNNNNNNNNNNNNNNNNNNNNNNNNNNNNNNNNNNNNNNNNNNNNNNNNNNNNNNNNNNNNNNNNNNNNNNNNNNNNNNNNNNNNNNNNNNNNNNNNNNNNNNNNNNNNNNNNNNNNNNNNNNNNNNNNNNNNNNNNNNNNNNNNNNNNNNNNNNNNNNNNNNNNNNNNNNNNNNNNNNNNNNNNNNNNNNNNNNNNNNNNNNNNNNNNNNNNNNNNNNNNNNNNNNNNNNNNNNNNNNNNNNNNNNNNNNNNNNNNNNNNNNNNNNNNNNNNNNNNNNNNNNNNNNNNNNNNNNNNNNNNNNNNNNNNNNNNNNNNNNNNNNNNNNNNNNNNNNNNNNNNNNNNNNNNNNNNNNNNNNNNNNNNNNNNNNNNNNNNNNNNNNNNNNNNNNNNNNNNNNNNNNNNNNNNNNNNNNNNNNNNNNNNNNNNNNNNNNNNNNNNNNNNNNNNNNNNNNNNNNNNNNNNNNNNNNNNNNNNNNNNNNNNNNNNNNNNNNNNNNNNNNNNNNNNNNNNNNNNNNNNNNNNNNNNNNNNNNNNNNNNNNNNNNNNNNNNNNNNNNNNNNNNNNNNNNNNNNNNNNNNNNNNNNNNNNNNNNNNNNNNNNNNNNNNNNNNNNNNNNNNNNNNNNNNNNNNNNNNNNNNNNNNNNNNNNNNNNNNNNNNNNNNNNNNNNNNNNNNNNNNNNNNNNNNNNNNNNNNNNNNNNNNNNNNNNNNNNNNNNNNNNNNNNNNNNNNNNNNNNNNNNNNNNNNNNNNNNNNNNNNNAUACUAAUAGAUUUAUUAAGAUUGAUCUACAAAAUCGAUGUGAUGGAUUAUGGAUGGAUAUUAGAUAAGUGGGCCAUGUUCAACACCUCAUAACAAUAUGUAUAUUUGAUUUUAUAGACCAACCUCGAAAAAGCUUAAGGUUUUUAAGGUUUAUGCACAUGUUUAUUAUAAUGCCCAGAAAUUUACGGUUAAUAUUCUCAUAUUGUGAGGUAUAAACUAGUAGAACUCUUUGCUGUCAUUUUCAAUCAUUCAUCUUUAACUAACUAUUACAUUGGAUUUUCUGAUGCCAUCUUAGAAUAUUUGGAUCAAUUAAAUCCUUACAAAAGUCUAGUUUUAUUUGAAAAUGAAUUGUUAAAUUUCCACUAACUUUUUUAUAAUUAAAUGAAAAAAAUGGGAACAAAAAUUCUAGAGUUGUACCAAAUGCAUUUAUGUCCUUUUUCUUUUCCGUGUAUAAAAUUUUUGUAUAAUUAUUAAAUGCAUUAUUCUAUUCAGAAACUCAUCUAAGGAAUAUUAAAAAAAAAAAAAAAAAGCAAGUUCUGAACAAAAUUCCUCCCGAUUUCAAAAAUGUAACUAAACGCAUCCUUAGCCUCCCACCUCAUCUUGCGAUCUCGCAAUUGAGGAUGUGGCCAUGCUCCACCACAUUGGCAUAAUUCCCCUCCACUCAGUGACACAUGGGACCCAUGCCUAUAGGGAUGGAUCUGAAAAUUCUCUCUAAUAUUUCAAAAUUUCGGGUCUCCCUCUUGUCAAUGAAGAAGACUCUCUCUCUCUCUCUCUCUCUCCCCCCCCCCCCCCCACUCCUGAUCCGCUGAAUUCUUCGGUGCGUCACUACAGCAUAAUAAAAUAGACAGAUUCAUUCAACUAUUGAAGUGUGUUAAGCCACAUCAAAUUAUGGCAAACCCUGAGGGGAAAGCUUCUGAGUACAACUAAUAGAGAAUGCACUAAUUGAUUGUUUUUUUUUUUACCUUUCUAGUAUGUAUCACUUCCUAUCUCACCUUAACAAUUUCUAAACUUCUAAGUUAUAUCCGCCUUUUCAUCUAAACUUAUGAUGAGAGAAUUUUUUGUGUGAAGCAUGAAAUCCUUUACUAUUAACUUGUAGACAAAGUUAGAGAGGUACUAAAGCUUGACCAGGAAAUAAAAGAUCUUGCUAAGCUACUAAUUGCAGAGCAGUCACUUCUCAUGUUUGGCAGAGGAUACAACUAUGCUAGAGCUUUGGAAUGUUCUUUUAUAGUAAAUGAAGUGGUAUUAAUGCACAGUGAAGGAAUACUUGCUAGUGAGAUGAAACAUGGUCCUCUGGCUCUAGUGGAUGAGAGUCUGCCUAUUGUUGUGAUUACUAUUUAUGUUGGUUGCUUCAAGUUGGCUUUUGCGGUAUAUGUUAACUUGCAUCCCAGUAAUCUCUAUUUGGUCUAGAACUGAGUGUGCCAGUGUAAACAACAAGCAACAAUCAAUUAUUCAGCAACUCCGUGCCUGUAAAUGACGCCUGAUUGUCAUGUGCUCGGGGGGAAAUGUUGCCGCUAUGUCUAUUGGCGGAGCAUGUAGAGUCAUUAAAGUUCCUCAGUUGGAGGAUUGUCUUGAGCCUGUAGUCAAUACAGAUGCUUUGCAGGUACAGUGUACUUACAAUAGUCUCUUUAUGCUUAUCUAUCAAGAGAAAAUCUCUUUAUGCUUGCCAAGAUGCAACAUUUUUUUUCCUGUUGUACUGAAUGCAUCAUAUCUUGCUGAAUACGAAGCUAUGAUGUAGAUUAGGUGGAGCUGGAAGGGAGCAUCUAGUUUUCUGUUUCCUUGGUUUGUUUUAUGCUCUUGGUGUGUGUUUUUGGAUUAAGGGUUCCAAAAUUCUCUCUAUAAUUUGGGGUUAGUUCUUAAAGAGAUUUCUUUUUUAUGUCUCAGCUAGCACAAACAUAACCAAUAUUAUUGAUUGAUCCUUGUCAUUAUGUUGUUCAAACUAUUUUGUUCUUAUAAAGUACCUUAAUAUUAUUGUUUCCUCUUUUCUGAUAGUCUGUUUCAUUUUAGUUGAAUUUGUUGAUUCGUUGAACAUGAGAAGAUUUUUAACUAAUGCGUUGCAGUCGUUGGCGUAUCAAGCCUAGGAACCUCGCAAAGAGUGUGACAACAGAGUACAAGCCCACUGAUAGAUUUCUUCUAAUUGUGUUUAUCUAGCAGCGAAAUGUAUUAUGCCAUGAAAAAUAAAGCGUUUUUGCAGCAGAGAGUUUAGAUUCUACAGAUCACAUUGAUUCGCAAAUACUUGUACUUUUCUAAUCAAUUAGGAAAAAUUGUCCUAACCCAACUUUGUGCACGUUCAUGGCUUGUUAUGCAUUCACCUAUUAAUCUAUACCUUGAAGUCAUAAUCAUGGUACCCGAUCAUUGUUUUUUAUAAUUGACAUAGCAAGAAUGACUACAUUUUAGUCUUAUCUUGGAUGCCAUGCAAAUUAGAGACAAUAUAUAGUUCAUUAGUGCCUUUAUUUUCAAGGUCACGAAAAUGGUUAUUGCCGACAUUGUAGUUAUCAUAAUUAGCAUUCUUGAGGAUGCGGCUAUCCUCGAGUAAUACCAUAUUCGGAGACUCCUUUUUUAUGGUGGACUUUGUUUGAAGUAUCUUUUGCUGCAUCAUAAGAUGCGAAAGGAGUCUGGUGAAGGGAAGAGGAAAAUUGCAUCCUUAUUCUAGAAAAAGAGCCGGGGUUGGGAACAAAAAAAGUAGUUAUUAAAGGUGCAAAAUUGAUGGAAUCAAUCGAGUUUCUGAGACAUGAUGUUGCUUUUUCACUCAGAUCGGUUUUUGAUGUAAAAAUGUCUCUCGAGUGGUGAUUUUCAUCAAACUGUUGGUGAAUUCCACACGGUUCAUACCUUUCUUGGGAAAUACUCUUGAGGUUACUUGUACUGUCUGUUGAAUCGACCAAAUGGGCAUAUUAGCAUGUAUUCCUCCAUGGAAACAUUCCGCUCCGUAGGCACAGUGGGGACUUGUGUAUAUGAAUGGAAAGAUCUUCAUGUCAACUCUCUCCAAAGUAGUUGUUUAUGGUCUCUCACUUUGACAUGUUGUUACCUGAGUUCAUUCUAUUAGUCAAUCGUGUUACAAGAUACAAUGCGACUCUCACUAGAUACCAGCAAAAAGCAAAGCCAUAAGUUCCAACUGCGCUGUUAUUUUGUCUAACACACUGUUAUAUGUUUCUUCCCUACUCAUUUCUUCCCUAUAUGCGACUCUCACUAGAUACCAGCAAAAAGCAAAUCAUGUACCCUGUGGGACAUUUGCAGCUCUGUCAACACGGACCAAUUGCCACUUCUGGCACAAAGCGGAUAUCCAUGACUGUGCAAGGCAAAAGUGGCCGUGCUCUUCCAACUUGUAGCUGGUGAAAACGGGACACUUGGACAGACAUAAGUAUAAUCUUGUUUUGAACCCACAUGUAAAGUUUUCGAGCAAGACCAUGCAAGAGGACGAUGGAAAGCAAUACUGAUAACAACAAAUAGGGGAAAGAGCGAAAGGGGUUUUGGAACAACAAUGAUGCAAGGGAAGCCACCGAGAGCGAAGCGGCGAGCAUCAUGAGGAUGUGAGAUGCUCGGGCAUAACAAGCGGGAGCAAAUGAUAGAUGAGCAACAAGUGCCAAUGAGCUAUAGAACAGAAGACAGAAGAUGGCAACAGAGGUGGUAAAAGAGUGGGUGUCAAAAGGGACUUUGGUUUCCCUCGAUAUUUCACCUCAAUGAAGUUGAGCAGCACGGGAACAAUAAAGGUAAGAACCGCGUGGUGAGAAGUGGAGGCAGGGAAACCUCGGACAUUUCCGUGGGGACAACUGCCGAGCGGCAUUGGAAACUGGAAUAAGUUUCCAGAUUAUCCUUUAUCCUAUGUACAAGAUGAUAUCAAAGUAAUCGGAUAGAAAGAUGGGCUAGUAGAACAGGGAAAAUACUAAUGCAUUAGAGUGGGAGCAAAUCUUGCUUUUUAUAAUGUGAGUGGUUGAGCACUGCACUAGUAGAGUGUCCAUCUAUUCUAUAUUUGUGUCGCCACUUUUCGGAAGUUUGACGAGGCUGGACCAAAGGAGGGUGACCUAAUAGUCAAACUGUUCGUCUUGCAAUGAAUGCAACGGGGGUGGGGACAUCACACAUAAGAUAGCAUACUAUGACUUUCAUGCCAUGUCCACGA
Molecule: long non-coding RNA, 33766 nt
Filed under: Eucalyptus grandis
Lineage: Eukaryota; Viridiplantae; Streptophyta; Magnoliopsida; Myrtales; Myrtaceae
Description: long non-coding RNA (EGRA_LNC004679)
Source: RNAcentral